GACGUAGGGCGCGAGCGUUGUCCGGAAUUAUUGGGCGUAAAGAGCUUGUAGGCGGUCUGUCGCGUCUGCUGUGAAAAUCCGGGGCUCAACCCCGGACUUGCAGUGGGUACGGGCAGACUAGAGUGUGGUAGGGGAGACUGGAAUUCCUGGUGUAGCGGUGGAAUGCGCAGAUAUCAGGAGGAACACCGGUGGCGAAGGCGGGAUCGUGGGCCAGUACUGACGCUGAGGAACGAAAGCGUGGGGAGCAAACAGG
RNAcentral lists this ribosomal RNA (253 nucleotides) under uncultured bacterium. RNAcentral's name for it is "partial 16S ribosomal RNA". It matches the Rfam family "Bacterial small subunit ribosomal RNA", at positions 524 to 776 of the family's 1533-position model. The record is from RNAcentral.